This 433-nucleotide ribosomal RNA is filed under the name uncultured bacterium. Its description in RNAcentral is "partial 16S ribosomal RNA". It matches the Rfam family "Bacterial small subunit ribosomal RNA", at positions 29 to 507 of the family's 1533-position model. The record is from RNAcentral.
AACGAACGCUGGCGGCAUGCCUAACACAUGCAAGUCGAACGAGCCCUUCGGGACUAGUGUCGCAUGGGUGCGUCACGCGUCGGAACCUGCCCUUAGGUUCGGAAUACCUCUCCGACAGGGGUGCUAUUACCGGAUAAUGUCUUCGGACCAAGGAUUUAUGGCCUUUGGUUGGUCCCGAGUUGGAUUAGCUAGUUGGUAGGGUAAAAGCUUACUAAGGCGAGGAUCCAUAGCUGGUUUGUGAGAAUGAUCAGCGACACUGGGACUGAGACACGGCCCAGAAUCCUACGGGAGGGAGGAGUGGGGGAUAUUGGACAAUGGGCGAAAGGCUGAUCGAGCAAUGCCGGGUGAGUGAUGAAGGCAUUAGGGUUGUAAAGCGCAUUUAACCGGGAUGAUAAUGACGGUACCGGGACAGUAAGCUCCGGCUAACUCCGUG